Molecule: ribosomal RNA, 333 nt
Filed under: uncultured bacterium
Lineage: Bacteria
Description: bacterial SSU rRNA
Rfam family: Bacterial small subunit ribosomal RNA
Source: RNAcentral
GAGUUUGAUCCUGGCUCAGGAUGAACGCUGGCGGCGUGCUUAACACAUGCAAGUCGAACGAAGCGCUUGAAAUUGAUUUCUUCGGAAUGAUUUUUCUUGUGACUGAGUGGCGGACGGGUGAGUAACGCGUGGGUAACCUGCCUCAUACAGGGGGAUAACAGUUAGAAAUGACUGCUAAUACCGCAUAAGCGCACAGUACCGCAUGGUACGGUGUGAAAAACUCUGGUGGUAUGAGAUGGACCCCGCGUCUGAUUAGCUAGUUGGAGGGUAACGGCCCACCAAGGCGACGAUCAGUAGCCGACCUGAGAGGGUGACCGGCCACAUUGGGACUGA